RNAcentral lists this ribosomal RNA (443 nucleotides) under uncultured bacterium. RNAcentral describes it as "SSU rRNA". It matches the Rfam family "Bacterial small subunit ribosomal RNA", at positions 26 to 518 of the family's 1533-position model. The record is from RNAcentral.
AGAACGAACGCUGGCGGCAGGCUUAACACAUGCAAGUCGAGCGCCUCGCAAGAGGAGCGGCAGACGGGUGAGUAACGCGUGGGAACAUACCCUUCGGUUCGGAAUAAUUCAGGGAAACUUGGACUAAUACCGGAUACGGACGAGAGUCGAAAGAUUUAUCGCCGAAGGAUUGGCCCGCGUUCGAUUAGCUAGUUGGUGUGGUAACGGCGCACCAAGGCGACGAUCGAUAGCUGGUCUGAGAGGAUGAUCAGCCACAUUGGGACUGAGACACGGCCCAAACUCCUACGGGAGGCAGCAGUGGGGAAUAUUGGACAAUGGGCGCAAGCCUGAUCCAGCCAUGCCGCGUGAGUGAUGACGGCCUUAGGGUUGUAAAGCUCUUUCGCUAGGGACGAUAAUGACGGUACCUAGACAAGAAGCCCGGCUAACUUCGUGCCAGCAGCCGC